RNAcentral lists this transfer RNA (98 nucleotides) under Candidatus Freyarchaeota archaeon. RNAcentral describes it as "tRNA-Thr". It matches the Rfam family "tRNA". From Rfam's summary of the family: Transfer RNA (tRNA) molecules are approximately 80 nucleotides in length. Their secondary structure includes four short double-helical elements and three loops (D, anti-codon, and T loops). Further hydrogen bonds mediate the characteristic L-shaped molecular structure. tRNAs have two regions of fundamental functional importance: the anti-codon, which is responsible for specific mRNA codon recognition, and the 3' end, to which the tRNAs corresponding amino acid is attached (by aminoacyl-tRNA synthetases). tRNAs cope with the degeneracy of the genetic code in two manners: having more than one tRNA (with a specific anti-codon) for a particular amino acid; and 'wobble' base-pairing, i.e. permitting non-standard base-pairing at the 3rd anti-codon position. RNAcentral also lists the same sequence under 2 other names. Lineage: Archaea; Promethearchaeati; Candidatus Freyarchaeota. The record is from RNAcentral.
GCCGCCGUAGCUCAGCAGGUAGUUACGCCAUUAAAGCAGCCAAAAGCGCCAGACUUGUAAUCUGGUGGUCACGAGUUCAAUCCUCGUCGGCGGCUCCA